Molecule: transfer RNA, 77 nt
Filed under: Proteus mirabilis
Lineage: Bacteria; Pseudomonadati; Pseudomonadota; Gammaproteobacteria; Enterobacterales; Morganellaceae
Also listed under: 2 other names
Description: tRNA-Ile
Rfam family: tRNA
About the family: Transfer RNA (tRNA) molecules are approximately 80 nucleotides in length. Their secondary structure includes four short double-helical elements and three loops (D, anti-codon, and T loops). Further hydrogen bonds mediate the characteristic L-shaped molecular structure. tRNAs have two regions of fundamental functional importance: the anti-codon, which is responsible for specific mRNA codon recognition, and the 3' end, to which the tRNAs corresponding amino acid is attached (by aminoacyl-tRNA synthetases). tRNAs cope with the degeneracy of the genetic code in two manners: having more than one tRNA (with a specific anti-codon) for a particular amino acid; and 'wobble' base-pairing, i.e. permitting non-standard base-pairing at the 3rd anti-codon position.
Source: RNAcentral
GGCCCCUUAGCUCAGUUGGUUAGAGCAGUCGACUCAUAAUCGCUUGGUCACUGGUUCAAGUCCAGUAGGGGCCACCA